RNAcentral lists this ribosomal RNA (196 nucleotides) under uncultured bacterium. RNAcentral's name for it is "partial 16S ribosomal RNA". It matches the Rfam family "Bacterial small subunit ribosomal RNA", at positions 326 to 539 of the family's 1533-position model. The record is from RNAcentral.
ACGCUCGACACCUACGGGACAGCAGUGGGGAAUAUUGCACAAUGGGGGAAACCCUGAUGCAGCGACGCCGCGUGAGCGAAGAAGUAUCUCGGUAUGUAAAGCUCUAUCAGCAGGGAAGAAGAUGACGGUACCUGACUAAGAAGCACCGGCUAAAUACGUGCCAGCAGCCGCGGUAAUCUGAGCGGGCUGGCAAGGC